This 116-nucleotide ribosomal RNA is filed under the name Lupinus albus (white lupine). The record is from RNAcentral. Lineage: Eukaryota; Viridiplantae; Streptophyta; Magnoliopsida; Fabales; Fabaceae.
AAAUUUAUUUUUAAACAGGAAUCACACCAAUCCAUCUCGAACUUGGUGGUUAAACUCUAUUGCGGUGACGAUACUGUAGGGGAGGUCAUGCGGAAAAAUAGCUCGGCGCCAGGAUA